ACUGCCUGCCCAGUGACAUCUGUUCAACGGCCGCGGUAUUAUGACCGUGCAAAGGUAGCGUAAUCACUUGUCUUUUAAAUAAAGACCGGUAUGAAUGGCAAAACGAAAACUCAACUGUCUCCUCAGACAAGUCAGUGAAAUUGAUUUCCCCGUGAAGAAGCAGGGAUAAUAAUAUAAGACGAGAAGACCCUAUGGAGCUUUAAACCAAAACUACCCACACUCUUUAAACUUUAAAAAGUGGAAUUAGCUACAGGUUUUGGGUUGGGGCGACCGCGGAGUAAAAAUUAACCUCCGAGAAAAAAUUAAGAAGGACACUUCAAAAAUAAUAAUAUUAACACAUUUGACCCAACAAUUGAUCAACGAACCAAGUUACCCUAGGGAUAACAGCGCAAUCCUUUCAGAGAGUCCUUAUCGACGAGAGGGUUUACGACCUCGAUGUUGGAUCAGGACCCCCAAAUGGUGCAAAAGCUAUUAAAGG
Molecule: ribosomal RNA, 478 nt
Filed under: Batrachoseps gregarius (gregarious slender salamander)
Lineage: Eukaryota; Metazoa; Chordata; Amphibia; Caudata; Plethodontidae
Description: partial 16S ribosomal RNA
Rfam family: Bacterial large subunit ribosomal RNA
Source: RNAcentral